CUUUUGUUUACUCUGAGUUCCAAACACACGCAUACACAAACACGACCACUGCACAAACACCCCUAUAUUCCACUCAAGCCACCACAGUCAUGACCGCAACCCUUCUGAGUUCUGACUUCUUCAGUUCAGUGGGAACACUUUGGAAUGGAGAAGGACCAGAUGCCAAAGCACUUGAGGAGAGCAUGGAGACUUCUUCCAAUUUGCUUCAUAGAUUCCUUUUGCUUUCACAGGGAAGUAUGUUUGGGAUCUCAUGUUUAUGAACGAUUCUUGUAUUUGCUACAUUGAAAGGGAGUUCUUACAAAAAGUUAUGUUUAGAUCGAGAAUGUAAUGCAACGUUUCCAAAAGAUGAAACCUCCUAUAGGGAACAAGUGUACAUAUUUUUGUUAUUCGUAAAGACCAUUUUGUAAAUUUAUCAUGAUGAUGUUUUUUUAAUAAUUGUAUCGUAUUGUUAUUAUGUGAUGAACUUUACCCGA
Long non-coding RNA from Helianthus annuus (common sunflower), 473 nucleotides. RefSeq lists it as uncharacterized. Lineage: Eukaryota; Viridiplantae; Streptophyta; Magnoliopsida; Asterales; Asteraceae. The record is from RefSeq and is a predicted model, not a curated record. The transcript is spliced from 3 exons.